CAAAAUGUAGCUUAACUAAAGCUUUUCGCUUACACCGAGACUAUGUCUGUUAAAACCAGAUCAUUUUGA
This 69-nucleotide transfer RNA is filed under the name Scaphiopus holbrookii (eastern spadefoot toad). RNAcentral's name for it is "tRNA-Val". It matches the Rfam family "tRNA". From Rfam's summary of the family: Transfer RNA (tRNA) molecules are approximately 80 nucleotides in length. Their secondary structure includes four short double-helical elements and three loops (D, anti-codon, and T loops). The record is from RNAcentral. Lineage: Eukaryota; Metazoa; Chordata; Amphibia; Anura; Pelobatidae.